GCUUAGCCCUUAACAUAGACAACAAACAUACAAUGUUGUCCGCCUGAGAACUACAAGUGAAAAACUAGAAACUCUAAGGACUUGGCGGUGUCCCAUACCGGCCUAGAGGAGCCUGUCCUAUAAUCGAUAAUCCACGUUACACCCUACCACCCCUUGCAAUUCAACCUAUAUACCGCCGUCGCCAGCCUACCUUAUGAGAGAAUUAAAGUAAGCUAAAUAGUCACUAACUAAAACGUCAGGUCAAGGUGUAGUAUAUGGGGUGGAAGAGAUGGGCUACACUUUCUACCACAGAACAUACGAACAGCACAGUGAAACCUCUGCUCAAAGGCGGAUUUAGUAGUAAGAUAAACAAGAAACUUUACCUGAAACCCGCUCUGGGACGCGCACACACCGCCCGUCACCCUCA
RNAcentral lists this ribosomal RNA (406 nucleotides) under Trachylepis vato. RNAcentral describes it as "partial 12S ribosomal RNA". It matches the Rfam family "Bacterial small subunit ribosomal RNA", at positions 794 to 1405 of the family's 1533-position model. Lineage: Eukaryota; Metazoa; Chordata; Lepidosauria; Squamata; Scincidae. The record is from RNAcentral.